UGAAAAAGAACCACCGCCUUCACUUGACGAUGACAAUGCUAAUGAUGGGUGCUCAAAGGCAGAAAACCGACUCAACAAUCGCCUAUUGUGCCGAAUAUUCUUAUGUGAAGACGAGUGUUGAACGGGUCAUCAGCGAAAUUUAUCGAUGAGCUCUUUUGUUGGCUACGUACGGAUACACACGGCCUGAAAUAGGUAUAAAUCCAUCAAACAACACUAAGAGGUAAACGGUCACUCAGAUAAUAAUUUUUAUCCGAAAUAAGCAGAAAGUAGUGACAAUAAAGCGAGUAGUAAAUUCAGUAAGUACCAAUUUUCUGAGUCAGUAAUUAUUCUUUUAGACGGUGCACACUGGUUUCAUUAUUAUUUAUAAAACUAAAAAGGAAAAUAAACAUUACAAGGUAAUUACCCCUGAAACAGCCAAGUAUCUAGAGAAAAUAUAACGCAAGAACUGUUGAAAACAAGACUCCAACCAAGAAGAAAUAGCAGUGGAACUGUAUGGGCGUACCGGAAUGCCGGUACAUUCCAAUAAAUUUCAUAAAUAGAAUAUCCGAACGAGUUGCUCGUGUGUUCCACGGAACUAAUAGACAUAAAUCCGGUACGUCGGACGGCCAGUGCUUAUCCUAUGCUAAUGCCUAAUGAAUAUUCUGGUUCAAUGCUGUGACCAUUUCAGAUAGCAGAUGAUCGGCGAUCUGGUGGACAAAAUAGUGUUAACCUGUUUUAUUCAGCAAGUUACAUAGUAAUGGUGAUACGGGGCAUUGUAACAGUUAUAUAGAAUAUGUGGUAUAUCCUGUUAUAACAUUUUUUCAAUAAAUUCAGUCUCGUUA
Long non-coding RNA from Dendroctonus ponderosae (mountain pine beetle), 821 nucleotides. RefSeq lists it as uncharacterized. The record is from RefSeq and is a predicted model, not a curated record. Lineage: Eukaryota; Metazoa; Arthropoda; Insecta; Coleoptera; Curculionidae. The transcript is spliced from 3 exons.